Long non-coding RNA from Astyanax mexicanus (Mexican tetra), 1552 nucleotides. RefSeq lists it as uncharacterized. The record is from RefSeq and is a predicted model, not a curated record. The transcript has 4 exons. NCBI's taxonomy places the organism in Eukaryota, Metazoa, Chordata, Actinopteri, Characiformes, Acestrorhamphidae.
AGAACAGACUGAUCUCAGCGGAACGUAAGUUCAUCACCUGAUCUUAAAGAGAACAUUUACCAAACACGGAGUAAAAAACAAUCAACUAAUCAAUACUGUUUCCUCAUCAGGAGAAAUAAUAUUCCUGAAUUUUUAUAGGAAAAAGUCUCAUAUAGUGAAUAAAAUACAUUGUACUCAGAUUGUCCUAAUAUUGUCCUAAAUUUUUCCUAAAAAUAUUGUAAUUCAGAUUGUCCUAGAGUUGUGCUAAAAUUGUCGUCCAGAUUGUCCUUAAAGUGUCCACAGAUUGUCCUAAUAUUGUCCACAGAUUGUCCUAAUAUUGUCCACCAAUUGCCUUAAAAUUGUCCUAAUAUUUUUCUAAAAUUGUCCUCAGAUAUUUAAAUAUAAGCACCAACUCUGAUCAGUAAAAUGUUAUAUUUUAAUCUUCAUCUUUCCUCCUGCUGUUUAAUAAAUGUUUAUUUAUUCAUUACAGAAAGAUUCAGUAAAUCAAUGUAUUUACCUCCGAAUCUGGCUGGUGAUGAUGAUGAUGAUGAUGAAGGUCAGAAGAGACUGGUUGCAGGACUGACUCCAGGCAGACGAAGCUGGAAUUCCAGGAAUGUCUCCACUCCCAAUCUGGCUUUUGGGAGAAAUGAUGAGUAAAGAAGUGGAGAUUCAGUGAAAGAUCCGUUACUCACCUGCAGUGCCUCGCACCAAUACCAGCAUCACCACCAACACCAUAAAUCACCAUUAUCUCUUAAACCCUGCCCACAUCCAUGAACUGAACACACUGACCAACUCUGUACUGGUCCAUCUAGAAAAGUAUCGCAACACUGUUAACAGAAUCCCCCUGAAAGAGGCUCCUCUAACUAGUUACUGACAGUAGAAUAUAACCAGACUGGAACAUGUUCAGCAGUAUCCAUUCAUACCAGCUAGAACGGAUAAAGCUGCUGACUAACUGACAUUAGUUUCACUUUCAAAUUAUGGACAAAAACACACCAAAAGCUAAACUUAUUCUUUAUAUUUGACAAAUGUUUGAUUAACGUUACAUGUCUUCACUCCUCUUAAGUUUAAUUAACUGAACUGAGUUUUAUCUGCAAAAGAGACGAGUGUUUAUUGGGUCUCCACUGCCCCAAAAAAAACACUAUAAACACUCUAAUCACCAAAAAAUCUUUCCGUUUUCUGUGAAUCAGCUGAAAGAGUUAUAUAAGAAUAAUUUGCUUCUAUGAGCUCUUUGGCUCCUCCCUUAUUGUGAUGUCAUAUAUUUCUAAUAUGGAAACAUAUAAGAUGUUUUUUUUCUGUCAUUUUCAAGUGUGGUAAACGCUCAGCAUAAACAUUAGGAUGGACGAGGUGCUGCAAAAGCUUAUUUGCAUAAAAGUGUCAGAGUCCUUAAACGGCUCGUUCUGAAAAGAACUGGAACUGGUAAGAAUAGAGCUGCUGAAAACGAACUGACAAAUAUCUUGCACUUAUAGAGAAUAUGAUUUAUUUUAACAGAUAAUCUCAAAGCUUUUGAGAUUUGGUCCCCUUCUAUUUCUUAAUUGGAAAGUAACUGAAUGUAAAAGCACUGGACACUGCUUAC